RNAcentral lists this ribosomal RNA (537 nucleotides) under Russula sp. RNAcentral describes it as "partial small subunit ribosomal RNA". It matches the Rfam family "Bacterial small subunit ribosomal RNA", at positions 400 to 968 of the family's 1533-position model. Lineage: Eukaryota; Fungi; Basidiomycota; Agaricomycetes; Russulales; Russulaceae. The record is from RNAcentral.
CGACAGUGGACUAGCUAACUGAAAUCAAUUAAAAAUUGAUAACAUAAGGGAAAAUAAUGAUAUUACCUUAUUAUUAGUGUCGUCCAAAACUGGUGCCAGAAGACUCGGUAAGGCCAGAGACACAAACGUUAAUCGUCUUAAUCAGGCGUAAAGGGUUUGUAGGCGGCUUUAAAAUUUAUUUAAAAUAAUAUUAAGUAAAGAAUAAAAGCUAGAAUCAAAUAGAGGAUAUAUGAAAGAAUGCUUAGAGUAGGUCUGAUAUCCUUAGAUACUAAGUAGAAUAUUAAAGGCGAAAGCUUUUUUCCAUUAAUGAUUGACGCUCAGAAACGAAGGUGAGGAUAGGAAAUAGGAUUAGAUACCCAGAAUACCCCUCUCUGUCAACGAUGAAUGGUAGUUAUUAAUAAGAAUUAUUAAUGGCAAUGUUAACACGAUAACCAUUCCGCCUUGUGAGUACAACUGCAAAGUUGAAAACAAAAAAAUUAGUCGGUUUCGGAGCAAACGAAGUGAAGCAUGUUAUUUAAUUAAAUAAAAUCCCCGCGA